CCGUCGGCAAGCGCAUGUUCCCAUCUGCAAUGGUACCCAACGCCCUCUUAGUGCUUAGCUGAGGAUGACGGUCACAAUCCAUGGAUCGCAGGUUACAGUGGCCAACGUGCCCGCAGGUAUAAAGGUGUCACUCUUCUCCUUCAAACGGCCUACCGAACCGCCACGGCUCCAAAAAAUGCUGGCUGUCCGAACCCGCAAAAAGACAACGAGGGCAUAGCACCCGGCAACCUUAACCAGGACAUAGCAGUCGGUCACAAACGCCAGAGCGACAGGCGCACAUUCACGUAUGACCGUGAAGACGUGCCGAUAUUGAACCGUCAGGUCGGGAACAGCCUCCCCAUACCGCCUCAAAUUGCUAUUUGUACAGAGACUCAGGCCCAGACAUCAUCGCUAAG
This 395-nucleotide long non-coding RNA is filed under the name Volvox carteri. RNAcentral describes it as "long non-coding RNA (VCAR_LNC001542)". Lineage: Eukaryota; Viridiplantae; Chlorophyta; Chlorophyceae; Chlamydomonadales; Volvocaceae. The record is from RNAcentral.